This 253-nucleotide ribosomal RNA is filed under the name uncultured bacterium. Its description in RNAcentral is "partial 16S ribosomal RNA". It matches the Rfam family "Bacterial small subunit ribosomal RNA", at positions 524 to 776 of the family's 1533-position model. The record is from RNAcentral. RNAcentral also lists the same sequence under 1 other name.
GACGAACCGUGCGAACGUUGUUCGGAAUCACUGGGCUUAAAGGGCGCGUAGGCGGGCCGCCGCGUCCGGGGUGAAAUCCCCCCGCUCAACGGGGGAACGGCCUCGGAUACGGGCGGCCUGGAGGCGGGUAGGGGCACGCGGAACUGUGGGUGGAGCGGUGAAAUGCGUUGAGAUCCACAGGAACUCCGGUGGCGAAGGCGGCGUGCUGGACCCGUCCUGACGCUGAGGCGCGAAAGCCAGGGGAGCGAACGGG